UACGUAGGGUGCGAGCGUUGUCCGGAAUUAUUGGGCGUAAAGAGCUCGUAGGCGGUUUGUUUAGUCAGGUGUGAAAUCUCCACGCUCAACGUGGAGGGGCCACCUGAUACUGCCAUGACUUGAGUCCGGUAGGGGAGUGUGGAAUUCCCGGUGUAGCGGUGAAAUGCGCAGAUAUCGGGAGGAACACCCGUAGCGAAGGCGGCACUCUGGGCCGUGACUGACGCUGAGGAGCGAAAGCGUGGGGAGCAAACAGG
RNAcentral lists this ribosomal RNA (254 nucleotides) under uncultured bacterium. RNAcentral's name for it is "partial 16S ribosomal RNA". It matches the Rfam family "Bacterial small subunit ribosomal RNA", at positions 524 to 776 of the family's 1533-position model. The record is from RNAcentral.